Molecule: ribosomal RNA, 274 nt
Filed under: uncultured bacterium
Lineage: Bacteria
Description: partial 16S ribosomal RNA
Rfam family: Bacterial small subunit ribosomal RNA
Source: RNAcentral
AUACGGAGGGUGCGAGCGUUAAUCGGAAUUACUGGGCGUAAAGCGCGCGUAGGCGGCUAAGUAAGUCGGAUGUGAAAGCCCUGGGCUCAACCUGGGAAUUGCACUCGAUACUGCUUGGCUAGAGUAUGGUAGAGGGUAGUGGAAUUCCUGGUGUAGCGGUGAAAUGCGUAGAUAUCAGGAGGAACAUCAGUGGCGAAGGCGGCUACCUGGACCAAUACUGACGCUAAGGUGCGAAAGCGUGGGGAGCAAACAGGAUUAGAAACCCCUGUAGUCC